RNAcentral lists this ribosomal RNA (796 nucleotides) under uncultured bacterium. RNAcentral describes it as "bacterial SSU rRNA". It matches the Rfam family "Bacterial small subunit ribosomal RNA", at positions 66 to 853 of the family's 1533-position model. The record is from RNAcentral.
ACGGCAGCACGGGAGCUUGCUCCUGGUGGCGAGUGGCGAACGGGUGAGUAAUAUAUCGGAACGUAUCCAAUAAUGGGGGAUAACUAGUCGAAAGAUUAGCUAAUACCGCAUACGCCCUGAGGGGGAAAGCUGGGGAUCUUCGGACCUAGCGUUAAUGGAGCGGCCGAUAUCUGAUUAGCUAGUAGGUGAGGUAAAGGCUCACCUAGGCAUCGAUCAGUAGCUGGUCUGAGAGGACGACCAGCCACACUGGAACUGAGACACGGUCCAGACUCCUACGGGAGGCAGCAGUGGGGAAUUUUGGACAAUGGGCGCAAGCCUGAUCCAGCCAUUCCGCGUGAGUGAAGAAGGCCUUCGGGUUGUAAAGCUCUUUCGCAAGGGAAGAAAACUUAACCUCUAACAUAGGUUGAGGCUGACGGUACCUUGAUAAGAAGCACCGGCUAACUACGUGCCAGCAGCCGCGGUAAUACGUAGGGUGCGAGCGUUAAUCGGAAUUACUGGGCGUAAAGCGUGCGCAGGCGGCCUGAUAAGUCAGAUGUGAAAUCCCCGAGCUCAACUUGGGAACUGCGUUUGAAACUAUCAAGCUAGAAUAUGUCAGAGGGGGGGUAGAAUUCCACGUGUAGCAGUGAAAUGCGUAGAGAUGUGGAGGAAUACCAAUGGCGAAAGCAGCCCCCUGGGAUAAUAUUGACGCUCAUGCACGAAAGCGUGGGGAGCAAACAGGAUUAGAUACCCUGGUAGUCCACGCCCUAACGAUGUCUACUAGUUGUUGGUGGGAGUAAAAUCCAUGAGUAACGCAGCU